Molecule: ribosomal RNA, 255 nt
Filed under: uncultured bacterium
Lineage: Bacteria
Description: partial 16S ribosomal RNA
Rfam family: Bacterial small subunit ribosomal RNA
Source: RNAcentral
UUCGUCCUACGGGGGGCAGCAGUGGGGAAUAUUGCACAAUGGGGGGAACCCUGAUGCAGCGACGCCGCGUGAGUGAAGAAGUAUUUCGGUAUGUAAAGCUCUGUCAGCAGGGAAGAAGAAAGACGGUACCUGACCAAGAAGCCCCGGCUAACUACGUGCCAGCAGCCGCGGUAAUACGUAGGGGGCAAGCGUUAUCCGGAUUUACUGGGUGUAAAGGGGGCGCAGACGGCAAUGCAAGCCAGGAGUGAAAGCCCG